AACGCGAAGAACCUUACCAACCUUUGACAUGUCCAGUAUGGGUUUAGGAGACUAGAUCCUUCAGUUCGGCUGGCUGGAACACAGGUGCUGCAUGGCUGUCGUCAGCUCGUGUCGUGAGAUGUUGGGUUAAGUCCCGCAACGAGCGCAACCCUCAUCUUUAGUUGCUACCAUUCAGUUGGGCACUCUAAAGAAACCGCCGGUGACAAGCCGGAGGAAGGCGGGGAUGACGUCAAGUCCUCAUGGCCCUUACAGGUUGGGCUACACACGUACUACAAUGGUGGUGACAGUGGGUUGCGAAAUCGCAAGAUCGAGCCAAUCCCCAAAAGCCAUCUCAGUUCAGAUUGCACUCUGCAACUCGAGUGCAUGAAGUUGGAAUCGCUAGUAAUCGCAGAUCAGCACGCUGCGGUGAAUACGUUCCCGGGCCUUGUACACACCGGCUAC
This 441-nucleotide ribosomal RNA is filed under the name uncultured bacterium. Its description in RNAcentral is "bacterial SSU rRNA". It matches the Rfam family "Bacterial small subunit ribosomal RNA", at positions 958 to 1397 of the family's 1533-position model. The record is from RNAcentral.